RNAcentral lists this ribosomal RNA (225 nucleotides) under uncultured bacterium. Its description in RNAcentral is "partial 16S ribosomal RNA". It matches the Rfam family "Bacterial small subunit ribosomal RNA", at positions 111 to 334 of the family's 1533-position model. The record is from RNAcentral.
UAACGCGUGAGGAACCUGCCUCAAAGAGGGGGACAACAGUUGGAAACGACUGCUAAUACCGCAUAAGCCCACAGCUCGGCAUCGAGCAGAGGGAAAAAGAGUGAUCCGCUUUGAGAUGGCCUCGCGUCCGAUUAGCUAGUUGGUGAGGUAAUGGCCCACCAAGGCGACGAUCGGUAGCCGGACUGAGAGGUUGAACGGCCACAUUGGGACUGAGACACGGCCCAG